Molecule: ribosomal RNA, 389 nt
Filed under: Brugia pahangi
Lineage: Eukaryota; Metazoa; Nematoda; Chromadorea; Rhabditida; Onchocercidae
Description: partial 28S ribosomal RNA
Rfam family: Eukaryotic large subunit ribosomal RNA
Source: RNAcentral
AACUAGCCCCGAAAAUGGAUGGCGCUUGAGCGGGAGACUUAUACUCAACCGUUGUAUGGCUUGUGUUUUUUUUUUUUUGGGAAAUCUGGCCGCAACGAGUAAGAGGGUCGCAAUGGUUAGCGUUGAAGACUUUGGGCGUAGGCCCGGUUGAAGCUUCCAUUGGUGCAGAUCUUGGUGGUAGUAGCAAAUAUUCAAGUGAGAUCCUUGAAGACUGAAGUGGAGAAGGGUUCCACGUGAACAGCAGUUGAAUGUGGGUCAGUCGAUCCUAAGAUAUUGGCUAGUGCCGUUUUUUAAAAUAAAAUAGAGGAAUGGAGGUGUAAUCCAUCUGAUNAAUCGAAAAGGGAAACGGGUUAAUAUUCCCGUACCUCGGGCCGCGACCACGCUUAUCC